GAAACUCUUAUCACUCUUCAGUUCUGUCUGAGACCUGAGAUGGAGGAGGAUGAUCAGUCCAGUUUGGGAAAGUUGCAGGGUUCUUUUCCUCUUUGCCCUAGAAACAGGAACCCUUAGGGAAAAUGGCACCCAUUGUCCUCAGAGAGUUGACAAAUAUUCCGGUCAAAGGAGGGACGAAGCUUUGCAAGUUGGAAGUGAUUCACCUAACCACCAGAAAUCCUGGUAAAAUGAAUUCUAAAAUCCAGGUCUUCAUCUCAGAUUCACAAUGGACAGGGCUUCACAUCUAGCAGAAAAUCCACCCAGCUUCUCUGCGUGUAAAUAUUUCAAACUCAAAUGCCUUUUCGUUUUCAUGCCCAAGCCA
Molecule: long non-coding RNA, 361 nt
Filed under: Ornithorhynchus anatinus (platypus)
Lineage: Eukaryota; Metazoa; Chordata; Mammalia; Monotremata; Ornithorhynchidae
Description: lncRNA (ENSOANG00000047034.1)
Source: RNAcentral